RNAcentral lists this ribosomal RNA (495 nucleotides) under uncultured bacterium. RNAcentral's name for it is "partial 16S ribosomal RNA". It matches the Rfam family "Bacterial small subunit ribosomal RNA", at positions 29 to 523 of the family's 1533-position model. The record is from RNAcentral.
AUUGAACGCUGGCGGCAUGCUUUACACAUGCAAGUCGAACGGUAGAGGGGGCAACCCCUUGAGAGUGGCGAACGGGUGAGUAAUGCAUCGGAACGUGCCCAGUCGUGGGGGAUAGCCCGGGGAAACCCGGAUUAAUACCGCAUACGACCUGAGGGUGAAAGCGGGGGACCGAAAGGCCUCGCGCGAUUGGAGCGGCCGAUGUCGGAUUAGGUAGUUGGUGGGGUAAAGGCCUACCACGCCUGCGAUCCGUAGCUGGUCUGAGAGGACGACCAGCCACACUGGGACUGAGACACGGCCCAGACUCCUACGGGAGGCAGCAGUGGGGAAUUUUGGACAAUGGGCGCAAGCCUGAUCCAGCCAUGCCGCGUGCGGGAAGAAGGCCUUCGGGUUGUAAACCGCUUUUGUCAGGGAAGAAAUCCUUUGGACUAAUACUCUGGGGGAUGACGGUACCUGAGGAAUAAGCACCGGCUAACUACGUGCCAGCCGCCGCCGUAA